GACGUAGGGCGCGAGCGUUGUCCGGAUUUAUUGGGCGUAAAGAGCUCGUAGGCGGCUUGUCGCGUCGUCCGUGAAAACCUGGGGCUCAACCCCAGGCUUGCGGUCGAUACGGGCAGGCUCGAGUUCGGUAGGGGAGACUGGAAUUCCUGGUGUAGCGGUGAAAUGCGCAGAUAUCAGGAGGAACACCGGUGGCGAAGGCGGGUCUCUGGGCCGUAACUGACGCUGAGGAGCGAAAGCGUGGGGAGCGAACAGG
Molecule: ribosomal RNA, 253 nt
Filed under: uncultured bacterium
Lineage: Bacteria
Description: partial 16S ribosomal RNA
Rfam family: Bacterial small subunit ribosomal RNA
Source: RNAcentral